This 238-nucleotide ribosomal RNA is filed under the name uncultured bacterium. RNAcentral describes it as "partial 16S ribosomal RNA". It matches the Rfam family "Bacterial small subunit ribosomal RNA", at positions 16 to 244 of the family's 1533-position model. The record is from RNAcentral.
GUCAUGGCUCAGGACGAACGCUGGCGGCGUGCCUAAUACAUGCAAGUAGAACGCUGAAGAGAGGAGCUUGCUCUUCUUGGAUGAGUUGCGAACGGGUGAGUAACGCGUAGGUAACCUGCCUUGUAGCGGGGGAUAACUAUUGGAAACGAUAGCUAAUACCGCAUAACAAUGGGUGACUCAUGUCAUUUAUUUGAAAGGGGCAAAUGCUCCACUACAAGAUGGACCUGCGUUGUAUUAG